GUGUCAGCAGCCGCGGUAAUACGUAGGUGGCGAGCGUUAUCCGGAAUUACUGGGCGUAAAGCGCACGCAGGCGGCUCUUUAAGUCUGACGUGAAAGCUCCUGGCUUAACUGGGAGAGGACGUUAGAAACUGGAGGGCUUGAGGCAAUGAGAGGGGUGCGGAAUUCCCGGUGUAGUGGUGGAAUGCGUAGAUAUCGGGAGGAACACCAGUGGCGAAAGCGGCACCCUGGCAUUGGCCUGACGCUCAGGUGCGAAAGCGUGGGGAGCGAACGGGAUUAGAUACCCCGGUAGUCCACGCUGUAAACGAUGCGAACUAGGUGUGGGCAGUAUUGACCCUGUCCGUGCCGUAGCUAACGCGCUAAGUUCGCCGCCUGGGGAGUACGGCCGCAAGGCUAAAACUUAAAGGAAUUGACGGGG
RNAcentral lists this ribosomal RNA (415 nucleotides) under uncultured prokaryote. Its description in RNAcentral is "bacterial SSU rRNA". It matches the Rfam family "Bacterial small subunit ribosomal RNA", at positions 505 to 918 of the family's 1533-position model. The record is from RNAcentral.